CCUACGGGAGGCAGCAGUGAGGAAUAUUGGUCAAUGGGCGCGAGCCUGAACCAGCCAAGUCGCGUGAAGGAUGACUGCCCUACGGGUUGUAAACUUCUUUUAUAAAGGAAUAAAGUGAGGCACGUGUGCCUUUUUGUAUGUCCUUUAUGAUUAAGGCUCGGCUAACUCCGUGCCAGCAGCCGCGGUAAUACGGAGGAUCCGAGCGUUAUCCGGAUUUAUUGGGUUUAAAGGGAGAGUAGAUGGGUUGUUAAGUCAGUUGUGAAAGUUUGCGGCUCAAACGUAAAAUUGCAAUUGAUACUGGCAGCCUUGAGUACAGUUGAGGUAGGUGGAAUUCGUGGUGUAGCGGUGAAAUGCUUAGAUAUCACGAAGAACUCCGAUUGCGAAGGCAGCCUACUAAACUGCCACUGACAUUGAUGCUCGAAAGUGUGGGUAUCAAACAGGAUUAGAUACCCGGGUAGUC
Molecule: ribosomal RNA, 460 nt
Filed under: uncultured bacterium
Lineage: Bacteria
Description: partial 16S ribosomal RNA
Rfam family: Bacterial small subunit ribosomal RNA
Source: RNAcentral